GACGAACGCUGGCGGCGUGCUUAACACAUGCAAGUCGAACGGAAAGGCCCUGCUUUUGUGGGGUGCUCGAGUGGCGAACGGGUGAGUAACACGUGAGUAACCUGCCCUUGACUUUGGGAUAACUUCAGGAAACUGGGGCUAAUACCGGAUAGGAGCUCCUGCUGCAGGGUGGGGGUUGGAAAGUUUCGGCGGUUGGGGAUGUACUCGCGGCUUAUCAGCUUGUUGGUGGGGUAGUGGCUUACCAAGGCUUUGACGGGUAGCCGGCCUGAGAGGGUGACCGGCCACAUUGGGACUGAGAUAAGGCACAGACUCCUAAGGGAGGCAGCAGUGGGGAAUAUUGCACAAUGGGCGGAAGCCUGAUGCAGCAACGCCGCGUGCGGGAUGACGGCCUUCGGGUUGUAAACCGCUUUCGCCUGUGACGAAGCGUGAGUGACGGUAAUGGGUAAAGAAGCACCGGCUAACUACGUG
This 468-nucleotide ribosomal RNA is filed under the name uncultured bacterium. RNAcentral's name for it is "partial 16S ribosomal RNA". It matches the Rfam family "Bacterial small subunit ribosomal RNA", at positions 28 to 507 of the family's 1533-position model. The record is from RNAcentral.